RNAcentral lists this long non-coding RNA (554 nucleotides) under Meleagris gallopavo (turkey). Its description in RNAcentral is "lncRNA (ENSMGAG00000021451.1)". The record is from RNAcentral. Lineage: Eukaryota; Metazoa; Chordata; Aves; Galliformes; Phasianidae.
GUAAUUCAUCAGUGACUACAAAUAACUGAAGAAAGUACUUAUUGCUUUCAGACAGGAUGCUCUGUCCUCUGAAUAAUGGUACUUAUCUCCUUAUUUGCUCUCCUUACCAUUUUUCUUUUUCUCCUGCCAGAUCCAAGUUAAAGACAAAAUGAACAGUAGACAAGAAGAAUCCUGGUGUUCAGUUUAUCUGCCUACAAGAAAACCAGUAAUUUCUGCAACUCACAGUUGUAGUUUUAGGUAUACAGACCUCAUUCUUUCAUGGGGAAUCACUUCUAGAGAGAUGUGCUGUCUUUGCUGAGAACAUCCAUGGCACAAUGGAUCCCAGUCCAACAUCUGAAUAGGGCAUUCUGAAAUACUGUGUCUAGUUCUGGGCUCUCUGGUUCAAAAAAGGAAUCUUCUGGAAAGAGCUAGAAAACAUCCAGUGGAAGGCAAGAAAGAUGACUGAGGGCCUGGAGCAUCUUAACACAAGAGACAAGAGUAUCUUCAAUAUGGAGAAGAGAAGGCUAAGAGGGAAUCCCAUCACUGUUUAUGUUAUGAAAAUCUGAAGUUCAGGA